RNAcentral lists this transfer RNA (31 nucleotides) under Pelexia weberbaueri. Its description in RNAcentral is "partial tRNA-Leu". The record is from RNAcentral. Lineage: Eukaryota; Viridiplantae; Streptophyta; Magnoliopsida; Asparagales; Orchidaceae.
GAAAAUCCGUCGAAUUUUAAAAUCGUGAGGG